GGACCAAUAACUCAGUUGGUAGAGUGCCAUGUUCACAGCGUGGAGGUCGCUGGUUCGAGUCCAGCUUGGUCCACCA
This 76-nucleotide transfer RNA is filed under the name Saltatorellus ferox. Its description in RNAcentral is "Planctomycetes bacterium Poly30 tRNA-Val". It matches the Rfam family "tRNA". Rfam says of the family: Transfer RNA (tRNA) molecules are approximately 80 nucleotides in length. Their secondary structure includes four short double-helical elements and three loops (D, anti-codon, and T loops). The record is from RNAcentral. Lineage: Bacteria; Pseudomonadati; Planctomycetota; Planctomycetia.